RNAcentral lists this long non-coding RNA (450 nucleotides) under Canis lupus familiaris (dog). RNAcentral describes it as "lncRNA (ENSCAFG00040021760.1)". The record is from RNAcentral. Lineage: Eukaryota; Metazoa; Chordata; Mammalia; Carnivora; Canidae.
UUCCCCCCCUUACGAGAGGGUUUUUAAAGGUGUUAGGAAUGGAUUCGGGUAGCUGGAGAUGAACCUGUGACACCUUUGGGGCUAAUUCCCGCAAAGCAGCUAAAACUGGAGCUUUGCCUUGAGGGCUCCUGCAGACCGAUCACCUGGGCACCUUAGGGGCGGCAGCAGCAGGCAGAGACUUCUGUGCUCUGAAGAAGCCCGGGAGGUGAGACUCCGAGAAGAGAGGAGUUCAUUUACCCCAGUCUCCAGAGAUCGCAGCGGUGGCUUUGGUGAGUCCCACUGGAGAACCCUGUCCCUGCUGCCGUAUCUGCGGCUAUAUUUACACCACUGAAUCAGGUGGGAUGAACAGAACUGCCCAAUCAACCCAAAGAAGUAGAAUAAUAGUUAUUAUAAUAAUUACUGUCUUAUGUUAAGUUACUAAGUUUUGGGGGGUUUUGUUAAACUACCUGA